AGCACCUUAGAGACCAACUAAGUUUGUUCUGGGUAUAAGCUUUCAUGUGCAUGCACAAACUUAGUUGGUCUCUAAGGUGCU
Non-coding RNA from Podarcis lilfordi (Lilford's wall lizard), 81 nucleotides. NCBI's taxonomy places the organism in Eukaryota, Metazoa, Chordata, Lepidosauria, Squamata, Lacertidae. The record is from the annotation of a GenBank genome assembly.